RNAcentral lists this unclassified non-coding RNA (222 nucleotides) under Hevea brasiliensis (rubber tree). The record is from RNAcentral. Lineage: Eukaryota; Viridiplantae; Streptophyta; Magnoliopsida; Malpighiales; Euphorbiaceae.
AAAAAAAUCAAAAUGGCACCACAGAGAGAUCUUAAUAAAAUAGGGUCGGAAGGUUUUGCUCUAAUUGAUGAAUACUUUGAUAAAAAGAGGACUAACAGAUCUCAAAUCACCGUGGAGACACAGCAGAGCUGCAACUAUCGCUAUGUUUUACCGGAAUCUCUUGUUUACCGGAUGAUUCCCCCGACUGGAAGAGAAGUUAUGGUCAGUGCUCCAACACCACCG